This 74-nucleotide transfer RNA is filed under the name Lepisosteus oculatus (spotted gar). It matches the Rfam family "tRNA". Rfam says of the family: Transfer RNA (tRNA) molecules are approximately 80 nucleotides in length. Lineage: Eukaryota; Metazoa; Chordata; Actinopteri; Semionotiformes; Lepisosteidae. The record is from Rfam by way of RNAcentral.
GCCGUUGUAGCUCAGAUGGCAAGAGUGUCUAGCUCCUGAGUGGAAGGUCCCGGGUUCAAUCCCAGGUAGGGGCA